CGAACGGAAGCUGCUCUUGAAUGAUAUCUAUUGGACAGUUUAUGUGCUACUUUUUUUGAUAACUCAGUAUUCAGUUCAAGUACCCGACUAAUCCAGGGGGACCAAUCUCACCGUCCACUAGUGGGCGGACCCAAUUAAAGGUAUGGACUGACCCAACUCAGGAAUUGAUAGCAACUAGGAGGUUUCGAAUCAGAGAUCUUGGAAGGGAAUAGACCUCCAAGUCUGAGACCUAAACCACCAGGUCAACUCUGAGGUUUGUUUACGUGCUACUUGAAAUUGAAAUGCAAUAGUAUAAUAAGAAAUGACAAUAAAGUGCUAAUCUCCAGGAUGAAAAGCGUUUUACAAAUUCACCACCACCUUGUUUUUGUUUUUCCAGGGAACUCCAGUCGUGUUCCUCAAAUGCAGGCAUUUUGAUUUAAGACGUUAUAAGGAGAGAAGACCAGACUGUUCACGAAAUCCAUUUGUAUAUUACACGUUGUACAUAUACACUGCCACCUAAAAGGAAAAAAAAAUAUAUGUACCUAAUUCUUUUAUAGCUUCUUUGUAAAAGGCAUGAACGAAGAAGAAAGAAAGAAAAAGCACUUGAUUUUGCCUAUGUUUAGACAAUGUAAACCUUUUCUUUCAUUUGAAGAUUCUUGUGACCAGAUGUUUCUUUUAUACCCAUUGUUGCAUUUGUAUUUCAAUGUCCGCUUUGCCUUACGUUGUAAUCCAUUUUGUCGCCUCACACAGCCUAUGCAGGA
Molecule: long non-coding RNA, 740 nt
Filed under: Actinidia chinensis (golden kiwifruit)
Lineage: Eukaryota; Viridiplantae; Streptophyta; Magnoliopsida; Ericales; Actinidiaceae
Description: long non-coding RNA (ACHI_LNC008712)
Source: RNAcentral